Molecule: long non-coding RNA, 1268 nt
Organism: Astatotilapia calliptera (eastern happy)
Lineage: Eukaryota; Metazoa; Chordata; Actinopteri; Cichliformes; Cichlidae
Source: Ensembl
CAAAUAGACUGUAUUUAUUUUUAUUCAAACAGAAGCAUUUACUGAAAUAUGAAUCUCAUUAAGUAACUGUUUUUUUUUUAUUAGAUUUCUUGCGCUCAAGCAGACUUUGCGUGUAUGUGUGUGUGUCGGCGGCUGAUUGAAGGCCCAUGAAAUAUUUAUCAUCAAAAGUUUGGAUUUAUAGGAAAAAUCUGGAGUCCCUCCACCCGCCCUCCACCCUGCUGAAGCCUGGUUUUAAAGAGCGCAUAGCUGUGACAACGAGCGGCUUUAAUUAGCGCGGACGGGCGAGGCGAGCCUGUCGGGCCACCGUCGUCCCCAGAAUCAAUAGCGGGGAAAGCGAAGCGCUCCCAGCUCCCGGGGCCUACCGGUGCGCGCACGCACACCUACAUGCAUGCACACCCGCGUGCUACUGCUGCCAACACGGCUAUGAAAACCCAUGAAAAAGGCAAAGCUGUUGGAGAAUAGGCGGAUCAAAACCCAUUAUGAGAUUUGAAACUCUUUUUUUCCCCCUCCUGUGUGUGUUUCUUGUGUCGCCCUUUGGUUUAAAAUGUCUCUCUAGAUUGGGAUAUUUGUGCAAGAGCAAACUGUUGGAUGCUCUCAAAGCUAUUUUUCUUCUUCUUCCUCUUCUUUGUGUGUGUCUGUGUCUUUUUUUUUGGUUGGAAUCCAUAAACGCAACGUAAACGCACAAGUGUGGGAUUUGUUGCAGAGGAACCUCGAUUGUUCCUGCCUGUGCUGAAGGUCUUAUCUCGGCGAGUCACGUGACUUACUCUUUGGGUUUUUUUUUUUUUUAUGCAGAGGAGCACAGGAACUGCAUGCAUAAUGAGCGCGUGCAAUAGGUAGGCCAAACUAGAACCUCGCGGUAUUUUAUUUUUAUUUUAUUUUAAUGUUUACUGUCUCAUAAGCACGCCCACAUAUUUAUUUAUUUAUUUGUAAUUUAAACACAAUUAAACAAGCAGCCCGGCACCUUUUAAAAUAUUUUAAUUAAUUAUAUUAUUUUUUAAAAGGCAAAAAUGCACGAGAGAGGGUGUAAAGUUUUUUUUUUGUUUGUUUUGUUUUUGCUGGCUUCACGUGCAGCAGCGUGCCUCCUCUGCUGCCACUUUUACUAAUGGAGACAAAGAAAAAUGAUGCCCACUUCUCUCUAUAUCAUUGAAUUCAGUUGCUAAGCAACUAGUAUAGGGAAAUCAUCCGCGAAAUUCAAAAUCCUGCAGCGCGAGGACACGUUUGGUGAGUUUUUGCUGAAUAGGCGAGCAAGACAACUCCAGAAAAAAAAG